Micromonospora rifamycinica is the source of this 51-nucleotide non-coding RNA. NCBI's taxonomy places the organism in Bacteria, Bacillati, Actinomycetota, Actinomycetes, Micromonosporales, Micromonosporaceae. The record is from Rfam.
CUCGCUGGGCUCAUAACCCAGAGGUCGCAGGUUCAAAUCCUGUCCCCGCUA